Molecule: non-coding RNA, 31 nt
Filed under: Callithrix jacchus (white-tufted-ear marmoset)
Lineage: Eukaryota; Metazoa; Chordata; Mammalia; Primates; Cebidae
Also listed under: 1 other name
Source: RNAcentral
UAGAGGAUAAACAUUUCCAGUCCUACUGCCU